Molecule: long non-coding RNA, 1406 nt
Organism: Oncorhynchus keta (chum salmon)
Lineage: Eukaryota; Metazoa; Chordata; Actinopteri; Salmoniformes; Salmonidae
Exons: 6
Source: RefSeq, a predicted model, not a curated record
AUUGUGUGUGUGGGGUACUGAGAUGAGGUAGUCAUUGUAUGUGUGGGGUACAGAGAUGAGGUAGUCAUUGUGUGUGUGGGGUACAGAGAUGAGGUAGUCAUUGUGUGUGUGGGGUACAGAGAUGAGGUAGUCAUUGUGUGUGUGGGGUACAGAGAUGAGGUAGUCAUUGUGUGUGUGGGGUACAGAGAUGAGGUAGUCAUUGUGUGUGUGGGGUACAGAGAUGAGGUAGUCAUUGUAUGUGUGGGGUACAGAGAUGAGGUAGUCAUUGUAUGUGUGGGGUACAGAGAUGAGGUAGUCAUUGUAUGUGUGGGGUACAGAGAUGAGGUAGUCAUUGUGUGUGUGAGGUACAGAGAUGAGGUAGUCAUUGUAUGUGUGGGGUACAGAGAUGAGGUAGUCAUUGUGUGUGUGGGGUACAGAGAUGAGGUAGUCAUUGUAUGUGUGGGGUACAGAGAUGAGGUAGUCAUUGUAUGUGUGGGGUACAGAGAUGAGGUAGUCAUUGUGUGUGUGGGGUACAGAGAUGAGGUAGUCAUUGUAUGUGUGGGGUACAGAGAUGAGGUAGUCAUUGUGUGUGUGGGGUACAGAGAUGAGGUAGUCAUUGUGUGUGUGAGGUAGUCAUUGUAUGUGUGGGGUACAGAGAUGAGGUAGUCAUCACUCCUGGAUGCUGGCCUUCUUGGCAGAGUUCCUCUGUCCAGUGUCUGUGUUCUUUUGCCCAUCUUAAUCUUUCUCUUUGAAGGGUACUAUUUAAUGAAGCUGCCAGUUGAGGACUUGUGAGGCUUCUGUUUCUCAAACUAGACACUCUAAUGUACUUGUCCUCUUGCUCAGUUGUGCACCGGGGCCUCCCACUCCUCUUUCUAUUCUGGUCAGGGCCAGGUUGAUCUGUUCUGUGAAGGGAGUAGUACACAGCGUUGUACGAGAUCUUCAGUUUCUUUCUCACAUGGAAUAGCCUUCAUUUCACAGAACAAGAAUAGACUGACGAGUUUCAGAAGAAAGCUCUUUGUUUCUGGUCAUUUUGAGCCUGUAAUCGAACCCACAAAUGCUGACGCUCCAGAUACUCAACUAGUCUAAAGAAGGCCAGUUUUAUUGCGUCUUCAGAAUCAGAACAGCUGUGAACAUAACUGCAAAAGAGUUUUCUAAUGAUCAAUUAGCCUUUUAAAAUGAUAAACUUGGAUUAGCUAACACAAUGUGCCAUUGGAACACAGGAGUGAUGGUUGCUGAUAAUGGGCCUCUGUACGCCUAUGUAGAUAUUCCAUUAAAAAAUUGUCGAAUGACUUGGCAAGGGGUCAAAUGACUUGGCCAGGAGUCAAAUGGGGUCGAAUGACUUGGCCAGGGGUCAAAUGGGGUCAAAUGACUUGGCCAGGGGUCAAAUGGGGUCGAAUGACUUGGCAAGGGGUCAAAUGACUUGGCAA